CCGCCUUUCUCCAAAUCGGUCUGGAGGGGAUCCAGGUUUCUCUUGGUCGGGUCCCGGGCAAGGCAGCGACCCCAGCUUUCCCCACUCUGGCCCUCAAGGAGAGGGUACCCGAUUCUCAAAGACCGGCCCCGGGCGGGACGGCCACUCCGGCUUCCCUAGAUAGAACUCUUCAGGAGAAGGGACUUUGGCUUCUCCCUAACCGGUCCUGGGGCGCGAGAAGGAGGGGCAGGGACAGCCUAAAGCUCCUCGAAAGGCUCCUUGGAAAGAACCCCAAAUUAUUCUUUCGUGGUCCCCAGACGAGAUGGAGGAUCUUGGGUUUCCAGAACAGGUUCCCAGUGGGGACAGGGUCCUCAAAGAGCUUUGGGUAAGCUCCGAACUGAAAGGGGAAUUGGAUGAAGAUGGAAAGAGAAGCCCCGAUGCCCAAGGCCUGCUCCCUGGAGGCCGGGAACCUUGGCUCCGGCAGCUCGGAGUCUCCGCGUCCCGGGGAUAUCGCGCCUACGCUGCUUGGCUGAGAGCUGGGUUUCGGGAGCUCAGGGAGGAAGUGUCCAAGCAGGUGAGCGCCUCCUGGGCGGGACAGGCAGCUCGACUAGCACCAACCUGAAGACGCCUGACUGUAUCCCCAGGCCCGCCACCUCGCUCCUCAGCAGGGUCAUCUCCCAGACAUCAUUUCCCCGUGCAGCAGUCGCCGCUCUCCGGGUCGGGGACAGUUCCCCAGAGAGCCUUGGACAGAAGCGGUGGGAGCAACACAGGAUAAAGUUUGGGGCAGCGUCAGCGGGCGCCAGGGCCACGCUGGAGACCAAAGCCAGGGGCCACCCUUCUUGGAGCGCUUUUCCCUCUUUCCCGGGUUUGUGUCGCCGACUUUCUGCACCCUGAGCUACCCCAAGCCGGCUCCUUGGUGCCCUUGGCACCUUGGCGUGCUGAGCACUUUGCGAGGAAUAAUCUGACCCCGGCGCGCAGCUCCACAAAGAAAGAUUUUGGGCGGAGAACACCCCUCCCAGCCCGGGAGGGAGUGCGCGGCUUGGCACCCUGGCUGGAGCGAGCUGCGCUGACGAGCGGCGACUGCCACUCGGUGGAGCCGGGAGGCGGCCGAUCCUCCCUGUGGACCGCAGGGAAGCGAGUGUGACUUCACUGGCCUAUUCAGCCCUCCCCAAAACUGAGGACCUGAGUUCACAGGGGAAACUGUCUCCGCUCCACGUAGCAGAGAAAGAAGUGGCUCUGGAGUCCAACAGACUUAGGUUUACUCACUGUGUGACCCUGUGCAAGUCAUUUAAUUUCUCUGCACCUAUUUCCUAGCAAAAAAAAAAAAAAAAAAAAA
Long non-coding RNA from Chlorocebus sabaeus (green monkey), 1315 nucleotides. RefSeq lists it as uncharacterized. Lineage: Eukaryota; Metazoa; Chordata; Mammalia; Primates; Cercopithecidae. The record is from RefSeq and is a predicted model, not a curated record.